Molecule: long non-coding RNA, 2314 nt
Organism: Cyprinus carpio carpio
Lineage: Eukaryota; Metazoa; Chordata; Actinopteri; Cypriniformes; Cyprinidae
Source: Ensembl
AAAUUAAUAGGCAGGGUUAUUAUAGUUAAUUAAAACUAAACCAUAAAAAACAACAUUAACUUGUUAAAUGAGAUAAACCAACUAUAUUAUGUAAUAAAAGUGGCAAAAACGCACAAGUAAAUUCCUAAAACUUAAUAUGAAAAGGGAAAAAAUAUGUAUAAAAAAAUUAUAAUUAUAAAACUAUAAUAGUAUUUCACAAAAUGUGAAUGUACAAAAUAUGCUUUAACAAUAUUAAUACCUACAAAUACUAAUAAGACUAAUGGGCUGGAUCUUCACAUGUUUGUUAAUUAAUAUUGGACACUCAAAUCCAAAGCAUAAGCCACUGUCAUUUAAUUCUGUAAAACAGGCCAGGUGGUCUUACAGUGCUCUCUCACCCUUGUACACACAUGGGAACCAUAAUGGAGGUGGUUUUUAUGCAGCAGUGUGCAUAAUUGUUUACCUGCUUCAUGCAUUCUGCGAGCAGCAGGGUGGUAUGCAUUUGAUGCCCUACUGAGUGUUCCUUACAGACAUGUCUGGCUCACAGCCUAUCCUUGAGUUUGGACAAUAAAAGCUCCUGCUACAGGCUGCCUAGAUUUCAUUCACAAAACCUCCAAAACCGGCUAUUAGCUCGACCUACAACAGUGCCUGAUGAUAAGCGGAAGAGAACAUGAUGAGAUAAAAGGAAGGGAGGAGAGGAGAAAAAUGCUGGGAAAUGAAGUCUACAGUCACCGAAACAUAAUCUGAGGAACGCAAAGGUUUGAUUAUUAAGACAUUGAAUUAAACCAUUUGAGGUUCCAAGUUUAUGAAGGCGGAAGGGGCCGAGGGUGUUGAAGGACAACAGGAAAGACAAGCUCAGAUGAGUCCUUACAGGACCUUAGUGAUGGAAGACAAGUGUGUGUGUGUCUUGCGGCCACUGGGUUGUUACUGGCUGUAUUUCAGAUGUGAAGGCAUCAGUCUUACAUUAUGAUGUCUGGGAACUAAACUCCACACAGACGGCCUCUUUCCUCUCAUUGCAGCAGGAGGUAGAUUUAAGGUCAGCUAACAGGAAGUGAAAAUGCCCGUUUCUUUGAAGUUAGAGUGUGGGAGGGUAAACUCUAGCUUCGAAGCAUCUAGCCCUUUGCGUCGUCUUCGUCAGCCAGAACAAUGUGUUUCUUUGUUGUGGGAAAUUGCAUUGUUGUCCCUUGUGGUAUUUGGUUUUACCACUUUAUUUCAACCUUGCUUCAGAUGUGCCCACAAUUCUUUUGUUUCCAGCAAAACAGGGCACUAAAUAACAGCAUCAGUAGUAUACAAUGUUUUCAUUCACAAUUACAGCUGAAAGCCCUUUAUUACACUUACAGAGAUUUUUAUUUUAAUUAGGGAACCAUCUGAGCAGCUCACCAAACCUUCAUAAACACCACAUUCUGGUGGUUUCCGAUCAGCUGGGAGGGAGAAAGUGUCAUUUAAGUAUGUCGUUUCCAUGUUGUAUUUCUACAGACAGCUCAUAAAAAUGACCUCCAGUGUCUACUUUUAAUCUACUUCUUACCUUCUCCAUGCAAAUCCCAUUAUGAAUGAUGUUCAGUUCUGUUAAUGGUUCUUCCUCUAAUAUGGACAGAACGCCUUACUGAAAUAUUUUGACCUAUAAGGAUUUUUCAGUCUCUGCUGCUCUGUGUUUCAUGGAAAGCUGCUGAAGCGUGUUACAUCUGCCGGGCUUCCAGCUGUUCAGGGCGUAUUGGGACACAGAAUCAGCAGGGAAAUUGCAAGGUAGUGGGACAUGAUUUUACAUCAAUUAAAGAUGGUGUACAGAUGUAACAGUGUUGAAGAAGAUGUGCUUACCUGAUCUAGAAGAGCUUUUCAUCAACUGUAAACCACUCUUCUCGCCACAGGAGUUUUCCUCGUUCAUUCUUGACUACUGCCUGGUUCAUCAGUUGGUAAAUUCACAUCCAACAACCACACCAUCACCACCGGCGCCCCCCAGGGAUGGUUUUUCUCCUCAAUACUCAUCUCCCUGUACACCAAUGACUGCACCUCUACUGAUCCUUUUGUCAAGCUUCUAAAGUUUGUGGACAACACUACAGUCAUCGGCCUCAUCCUGGACGGUGACGAGUCUGCUUAUAAAAGCGAGGUUGAGCAGCUGGCUGUCUGGUGCAGACUUAACAACCUGGAGCUGAACACGCUUGUGGAUUUCAGGAGAACCAGCCUCCCCCCAUCCACCAUCAUGAACAGUACUUUGGAGACAUUCAGGUACCUGGGCUCCAACACUCAGCACACUUCAACUUUGAACUGUUGCCAUCUGGUCAGCACUAGUACAGAGCAAUGAGCACCAAAACAGCCAGACAUAGGAAAAGUUUCUUCCCUC